RNAcentral lists this long non-coding RNA (1028 nucleotides) under Mytilus galloprovincialis (Mediterranean mussel). The record is from RNAcentral. Lineage: Eukaryota; Metazoa; Mollusca; Bivalvia; Mytilida; Mytilidae.
UGCACACGCUGAAAUGUCUCGCCUUCUAUACUAAUCAUUGAUAUUAUGUUGAUAGUCCUAAGUAUAAAGCUAAGCUUUAUUACAACUGUCGCAUAAACUUAACAUUAACCAAGAUAACUAAACAAAGACCAAUGAACCUUGAAAAUGAGGUCAAGGUCAGAUGAACGAUGCCAGGCAGACAUGUACAGCUAACAAUGCUUCUAUACAACAUAUAUAUAGUUGACCCAUUACUUAUAGUUUAAGAAAAAUAGACCAAAACACAAAAACUUAACACUGUGCAACGAACCGUGAAAAUGAGGUCACGGUCAAAUAAAACCUGUGCGUCUGACAUAAAGAUCAUAAAAUAUUUCCAUACACCAAAUAUAGUUGACCUAUGGCAUACAGUAUUAGAUAAAAAGACCGAAACUCAAAAACUUAACUUUGACCACUGAACCAUGAAAAUGAGGUCAAGGUCACAUGACAUCUGCCCGCUAGACAUGUACACUUUACAAUCAUUCCAUACAACAAAUAUAGUAGACCUAUUGCAUAAAGUAUGAGAAAAAUAGACCAAAACACAAAAAUUUAACUAUAACCACUGAACCAUGAAAAUGAGGUCAAGGUCAGAUGACACCUGCCAGUUGGACAUGUACACCUUACAGUCCUUCCAUACACCGAAUAUACUAGCCCUAUUGCUUAUAGUAUCUGAGAUAUGGACUUGACCACCAAAACUUAACCUUGUUCACUGAUCCAUGAAAUGAGGUCGAGGUCAAGUGAAAACUGUUUGACAGACAUGAGGACCUUGCAAGGUACGCACAUAUCAAAUAUAGUUAUCCUAUUACUUAUAAUAAGAGAGAAUUCAACAUUACAAAAAAAUUGAACUUUUUUUUCAAGUGGUCACUGAACCAUGAAAAUGAGGUCAAGGACACUGGACAUGUGACUGACAGAAACUUCGUAACAUGAAGCAUCUAUAAACAAAGUAUGAAGCAUCCAGGUCUUCCACCUUCUAAAAUAUAAAGCUUUUAAGAAGUGAGCUAACGCCGCCGACACCG